CGUUCCAUGGUCUAGUGACAUUGGACUUUUUAAAUCCAGAAACCCGGGUUCAAAUCUCGGUGGAACCU
Molecule: transfer RNA, 68 nt
Filed under: Amborella trichopoda
Lineage: Eukaryota; Viridiplantae; Streptophyta; Magnoliopsida; Amborellales; Amborellaceae
Rfam family: tRNA
About the family: Transfer RNA (tRNA) molecules are approximately 80 nucleotides in length.
Source: Rfam by way of RNAcentral